ACGAGCCACACAAACGUUAUUCGGAAUUACUGGGCUUAAAGGGUGCGUAGGCGGCGCGGAAAGUUGGGUGUGAAAUCCCUCAGCUUAACUGAGGAACUGCGCCCAAAACUACCGUGCUCGAGGGAGAUAGAGGAAUGCGGAACUUACGGUGGAGCGGUGAAAUGCGUAGAUAUCGCUUGGAACGCCAACGGUGAAAACAGCUCGCUGGGGGUGUGCUGACGCUGAGACACGAAAGCCAGGGGAGCGAACGGGA
RNAcentral lists this ribosomal RNA (253 nucleotides) under uncultured prokaryote. RNAcentral's name for it is "partial 16S ribosomal RNA". It matches the Rfam family "Bacterial small subunit ribosomal RNA", at positions 525 to 777 of the family's 1533-position model. The record is from RNAcentral.